UAUCAUUUUCAGUAGUACUCAAGGUGAGACAGACCAGUUUGAGAAUGCUGGAAGCUCCACCAGACUUCACUGCACCAGGAUGAACAGCAAUGGAGCAUUGUUCUGGGAAUUCAGAAUUCAGGGAGCUGAACCAGAGAUCAGUGCUAUUGAUGCUGGCACUGCCAAGGUCCUCAAUUCUGCAAAAGAUAAACUGGGUAAUAAAUGGGAGGCCCUUGAUCUCACAUAUAAACAAGAGCAGUGUGCAACUAGGUUAAAUGAAGCUGUGAGCUGAGGACGUUUCCAGCAGGAAAAAACACCACCAUUAGCAUAGCUUUUCACUGGAUACUCUGCAGUUUUAGAGGUUUGACAAUAUUGCAUUCAGAGGCAUGACAACAUGAAUUUAGUAUGUUGAUGAUCCUGCGUCUUGGUUGGCUCUGCUCAACAGAUGAAGCAGCAGUGUCCAUUCUUUC
Molecule: long non-coding RNA, 449 nt
Organism: Passer domesticus (house sparrow)
Lineage: Eukaryota; Metazoa; Chordata; Aves; Passeriformes; Passeridae
Exons: 3
Source: RefSeq, a predicted model, not a curated record